Molecule: transfer RNA, 92 nt
Filed under: Mycobacterium phage Fefferhead
Lineage: Duplodnaviria; Heunggongvirae; Uroviricota; Caudoviricetes
Description: tRNA-Gln
Source: RNAcentral
UCGGCGCUAGUUGGCGUGCGAGCAGCCCUCGCCGCUCUGGGCGUCGUCGAGGGGCCUUACGCGCUGCCGGUGCGAUUCCAGCGUGUCGGCCC